This 72-nucleotide transfer RNA is filed under the name Camelus bactrianus (Bactrian camel). It matches the Rfam family "tRNA". Rfam says of the family: Transfer RNA (tRNA) molecules are approximately 80 nucleotides in length. Their secondary structure includes four short double-helical elements and three loops (D, anti-codon, and T loops). The record is from Rfam by way of RNAcentral. RNAcentral also lists the same sequence under 3 other names. Lineage: Eukaryota; Metazoa; Chordata; Mammalia; Artiodactyla; Camelidae.
GAGGGUAUAGCUCAGUGGUAGAGCCCGGGCUUAACAGGCAUGAGGUUCUGGGUUCAAUCCCCAGUACCUCUG